This 373-nucleotide unclassified non-coding RNA is filed under the name uncultured fungus. Its description in RNAcentral is "partial contains small subunit ribosomal RNA, internal transcribed spacer 1, and 5.8S ribosomal RNA". The stretch from base 1 to 73 matches the Rfam family "Eukaryotic small subunit ribosomal RNA", at positions 1759 to 1831 of the family's 1831-position model. The record is from RNAcentral. Lineage: Eukaryota; Fungi.
UCAAACUUGGUCAUUUAGAGGAAGUAAAAGUCGUAACAAGGUUUCCGUAGGUGAACCUGCGGAAGGAUCAUUAAUGAAACUUGGUUGGGUUGUUGCUGGCUUUCUUUGGAAGCAAGUGCACACCUACUCCAUUUCAACCACCUGUGCACCUUCUGUAGACUUUGAAAUAAUUUUCAAGGGGAUAUUUUCCUUGGGCUUUAGAGAUCUGCUGUGCGGAAAAGGCCAGCUUUUCUUGUGUUUCCAAGUCUAUGUUUUUCUUGCAUUAUACCCCAUAAAGUGUAAUAGAAUGUUACUAUAGGCUUUUUGUGCCUUUAAAAACAAUACAACUUUCAACAACGGAUCUCUUGGCUCUCGCAUCGAUGAAGAACGCAGC